AGGCUCCGCCAAGUGCCCUUUGCUCUAAGUAAAUUUUUGGGAUUUUUUUAGUGAUUUUUCGGCCGAGUCUUAAAGGCGCUGUAGUCUCGGACAGGUUACUCCGUCUCUCCCGCUAGAUUGAUGAGAUCAGGCAUC
Bison bison bison is the source of this 135-nucleotide unclassified non-coding RNA. The record is from Ensembl. NCBI's taxonomy places the organism in Eukaryota, Metazoa, Chordata, Mammalia, Artiodactyla, Bovidae.